ACGGCGAGUGAACAGGGAAAAGCCCAGCACCGAAGCCUGUGGCCACUUGGUCAUUAGGCAAUGUGGUGUUUAGGUCAUUCCGCGAAGGUACUGCUCCAUUCCAAGUCCGGCAAUGAGUACGGUAAUUUUGACAUGGCCCAAAGAGGGUGAAAGGCCCGUUGGGGUGGAGGCGCAGAAAUGCCAGUGCUUUCCUGGUUUGACCUUGGAGUCGGGUUGUUUGAGAAUGCAGCCCAAAGUGGGUGGUAAACUCCAUCCAAGGCUAAAUACUAACACGAGUCCGAUAGCGAACAAGUACCGUGAGGGAAAGUUGAAAAGUACUUUGAAGAGAGAGUAAACAGUGCGUGAAACCGCUCAGAGGUAAACGGGUGGAGUUGAACUGUAAUCCCUGUGAAUUUAGCUGGUGAGCUUGGUUUGAGCUUGGUCAAAUUGGUUGAAACGUGGGGUCUGCGUAGCAGCAGGUCUUCGCCUUUUGGUGAGGAUGCGCGAGACACUUAUCAAGUGUUGCGCGCCCUAUAUUAUUCGGGCCAGCUUGCCAGUGCACUUUUGCAGGGUGUUCACCACGACCGGCAUUGCUGUCUGGCUGUUGUGGUUAAACCGGCUUUUCAUUGUCCUUGUGGCUUUGGAUAGUCGGGAUGGCAGGUAACUGGUUGACUGGCUUGCUAGUCUUCCGGUGUAAUUCGCUGACCACAUCGGUACUGUGCGGUAUGUCGGAGACGGCGGCUUGUGGUGUGUGCGUGUGUGCCAGUUGACUGGCGUGUCCGAGUUUGGUUGUUACGUUGCCUGUGUUUGCAGGCCUGAUGAUAGCUCGGAUUCGUUCGGUUGGCGGUUGCAUGCGUGUCACUUUCCAGGGCCAAUAGUCUGUGGUGUUGCGGUAGACUUUCCACCUGACCCGUCUUGAAACACGGACCAAGGAGAGUAACAUGUACGCGAGU
RNAcentral lists this ribosomal RNA (932 nucleotides) under Heterophyes sp. PM-2016. Its description in RNAcentral is "eukaryotic LSU rRNA". It matches the Rfam family "Eukaryotic large subunit ribosomal RNA", at positions 86 to 691 of the family's 3401-position model. The record is from RNAcentral. Lineage: Eukaryota; Metazoa; Platyhelminthes; Trematoda; Opisthorchiida; Heterophyidae.